UUGUAAUUUGGAGAAGGUGCUUCGGGGGCGACGACGGCUCAAGUCCCUUGGAACAGGGCGUCAUAGAGGGUGAGAAUCCCGUAUGUGGCCGACCGUCAAUCCCGUGUGAAGCCCUUUCGACGAGUCGAGUUGUUUGGGAAUGCAGCUCUAAAUGGGUGGUAAAUUUCAUCUAAAGCUAAAUAUCUGCCGGAGACCGAUAGCGCACAAGUAGAGCGAUCGAAAGAUGAAAAGCACUUUGAAAAGAGAGUUAAACAGUACGUGAAAUUGUUGAAAGGGAAGCGCUUGCAACCAGACUCGUCCGCGGGGGCUCAGCCGUUCUCCGGGACGGUGUACUCCCCCGUGGCCGGGCCAGCAUCGGUUUCGGCGGCCGGACAAAGGCCCUGGGAAUGUAGCUCCCUCCGGGGAGUGUUAUAGCCCGGGGUGCCAUGCGACCUGUCGGGACCGAGGACCGCGCUUCGGCUAGGAUGCUGGCGUAAUGGUUGCCAGCGACCCGUCUUGAAACACGGACCAGUAAGUCGAUCCCCCCGUUGUGUCUUGCGCCGUAGGCGGUUGCUAACUAUUAUUGCAGAGGAGUUGACCAACCGCGCGAGUGUUUGGGCGUCAAACCCAUGCGCGCAAUGAAAGUGAAUGUAGGUGGGAGCCCCCGGGCGCACCAUCGACCGAUCUUGAUGUUUUCGGAUGGAUUUGAGUACGAGCACGGCUGGUCUGACCCGAAAGAUGGUGAACUAUGCGUGAAUAGGGUGAAGCCAGAGGAAACUCUGGUGGAGGCUCGCAGCGGUUCUGACGUGCAAAUCGAUCGUCAAAUUUGCGCAUAGGGGCGAAAGACUAAUCGAACCAUCUAGUAGCUGGUUCCCGUCGAAGUUUCCCUCAGGAUAGCAGCAACGAAGACAGUCUCAUGAGGUAGAGCGAACGAUUAGAGGCCUGGGGGUUGAAACAACCUUCACCUAUUCUCGAACUUCGAAUAUGUGAGAAGUCCUUGUUACUUAAUUGAA
Molecule: ribosomal RNA, 992 nt
Filed under: Phaeographis platycarpa
Lineage: Eukaryota; Fungi; Ascomycota; Lecanoromycetes; Ostropales; Graphidaceae
Description: eukaryotic LSU rRNA
Rfam family: Eukaryotic large subunit ribosomal RNA
Source: RNAcentral